Ipomoea triloba (trilobed morning glory) is the source of this 477-nucleotide long non-coding RNA. RefSeq lists it as uncharacterized. NCBI's taxonomy places the organism in Eukaryota, Viridiplantae, Streptophyta, Magnoliopsida, Solanales, Convolvulaceae. The transcript is spliced from 3 exons. The record is from RefSeq and is a predicted model, not a curated record.
UUUACGCAGAUGGCGAAGGCGAUGCGAUUUCUCCCAUCCACCUCGCUUCGAAUUUACAUAUUUACAAUUUUUAGGGGAGAAGAUGGAGGAAGAAAUGCAGAAAUGCAACACCGAUUGAGUCUACUUCUUGGCAUCUCCUCUCACUUGUAAGAAGGGCAUUGAGUGUGAGUACCGGCAUAAUGAUAUUGCUAGGCUCAAUCCCAGGGAUUGUUGGUACUGGUUAUUAGGGAGCUGUCUCAAUCUAACUUGUGGUUUCCGGCACCCGCCAUUAGAGAGUCGUAAUGAAAAAUCAGUUGAAUAUGCUCCUACUUACCUGUGAACAAGACAUGUGUUCCCUGUUUCUUCUAUUACAAUGGAUUUUGCAAUAGAGCUUAAAAAUGUGCGUUUCUGCAUGGACCUGAUAAUGGGGAUCCCACACGGAAAACAUCAAAGACACUGUCUGCAGUCAAUGAUGGACCAUAUCUUGAGAAAAAGACA